GUCAGGUAGAGCUUCGCCUUUCUGGUGGACCCUCACAAGCCGCUUGAAGACUUGCAACGGGCAGCUUUGCAGGUCUUUCUUCACAGAAACAAAGUUAAAUGUGUGAAUAGUUUUAAGUUCUAAAAAAAGUUGGAAGCUAUUGUUGGCCCUGUUGUGGACCCUUUUUUGAAGAUUUUGUUCUACCUUUGUGAAGAUUUUUUUACUUGAUGUGAUUGUAGCCUCGGACAGUACUCAAUUUUCUCUGAAGAUUUUUUUGUUCCUUCUGUGACCUGUUGUGACCAUGUCCUAUCCUAAAGCUUCCUCUCGACAGUUAUGGUAAGUUGAAAUCAGAAACAAAUGUUUU
This is a long non-coding RNA of Rana temporaria (common frog), 343 nucleotides long. RefSeq lists it as uncharacterized. The record is from RefSeq and is a predicted model, not a curated record. The transcript has 3 exons. NCBI's taxonomy places the organism in Eukaryota, Metazoa, Chordata, Amphibia, Anura, Ranidae.